This 814-nucleotide ribosomal RNA is filed under the name uncultured euryarchaeote. RNAcentral's name for it is "bacterial SSU rRNA". It matches the Rfam family "Archaeal small subunit ribosomal RNA", at positions 495 to 1311 of the family's 1478-position model. The record is from RNAcentral. Lineage: Archaea; Methanobacteriati; Methanobacteriota.
UCGAUAUUAUUGAGCCUAAAACGUCCGUAGCCGGUCUUGUAAAUCCUUGGGUAAAUCGGCCAGCUUAACUGUCCGAAGUCCGGGGAGACUGCAAGACUUGGGAUCGGGAGAGGUCAGAGGUACUUCUGGGGUAGGGGUAAAAUCCUGUAAUCCUGGAAGGACCACCGGUGGCGAAGGCGUCUGACUAGAACGAAUUCGACGGUGAGGGACGAAGCCCUGGGGCGCAAACGGGAUUAGAUACCCCGGUAGUCCAGGGUGUAAACGCUGCGGGCUUGGUGUUGGGGGUCCUUUGUGGGCGCCCAGUGCCGGAGAGAAGUUGUUAAGCCUGCUGCUUGGGGAGUACGUCCGCAAGGAUGAAACUUAAAGGAAUUGGCGGGGGAGCACCGCAACGGGAGGAGCGUGCGGUUCAAUUGGAUUCAACGCCGGACAACUCACCAGGAGCGACGGUUACAUGAAGGCCAGGUUGAUGACCUUGCCUGAUUUUCCGAGAGGUGGUGCAUGGCCGUCGUCAGUUCGUACCGUAAGGCGUUCUCUUAAGUGAGAUAACGAACGAGACCCUCACCAUUAAUUGCGAGCUCUCUCUCCGGAGGGAGUGCACAUUAGUGGGACCGCUGGCGCUAAGUCAGAGGAAGGAGAGGUCAACGGUAGGUCCGUAUGCCCCGAAUCUCCUGGGCUACACGCGCGCUACAAAGGUUGGGACAAUGGGCUGCGACAUCGAAAGGUGAAGCCAAUCCCGAAACCCAAUCGUAGUUCGGAUUGAGGGUUGUAACUCACCCUCAUGAAGCUGGAUUCCGUAGUAAUCGCUUGUCAACAU